AUGAACGCUGGCGGCAGGCCUAACACAUGCAAGUCGAACGGAGUUAUAUUGUAGCUUGCUAUGGUAUAACUUAGUGGCAGACGGGUGAGUAAUGUAUAGGAAUCUACCUAGUAGUACGGAAUAAUUGUUGGAAACGGCAACUAAUACCGUAUACGCCCUACGGGGGAAAAAUUUAUUGCUAUUAGAUGAGCCUAUAUUAGAUUAGCUAGUUGGUGGAGUAAUAGCCUACCAAGGCAAUGAUCUAUAGCUGAUCUGAGAGGAUGAUCAGCCACACUGGAACUGAGAUACGGUCCAGACUCCUACGGGAGGCAGCAGUGGGGAAUAUUGGACAAUGGGCGAAAGCCUGAUCCAGCCAUGCCGCAUGAGUGAAGAAGGCCUUUGGGUUGUAAAGCUCUUUUAGUGAGGAAGAUAAUGACGGUACUCACAGAAGAAGUCCUGGCUAACUCCGUGCCAGCAGCCGCGGUAAUACGGAGAGGGCUAGCGUUAUUCGGAAUUAUUGGGCGUAAAGGGCGCGUAGGCGGAUUAGUAAGUUAAAAGUGAAAUCCCAAGGCUCAACNUUGGAAUUGCUUUUAAAACUGC
Molecule: ribosomal RNA, 579 nt
Filed under: uncultured bacterium
Lineage: Bacteria
Description: bacterial SSU rRNA
Rfam family: Bacterial small subunit ribosomal RNA
Source: RNAcentral